UUUGGAGUAGAAGGAUGUUUUGAAUACAUGAUAUAUACAAUGUAAUGUGACUAAUUUUUUAUUUUACUAAGCAAUACUUCAAUGUCUUUGUUUACUUCCCUCGUCAACUAAUUUUUUAAGAUGCUCGUUUCUAAAAGAGUGGAAUAUUUUAUUUAAUGUUUGUACCAUGAUUGCCUUAAGGCUGUGGAUGUUGAUUGUUUCUUUACAUGAGACUUAAUAAAUUUAGUAAGCAAAGCGAAUUCAAAUUUGUUGGUUCAUAUUUUUGCAGUGACUUCUACUGAACGCGGAUUUUUUUUUUUCUUUUCCGUUAGAAUAAUAUUUGUUUAUUCCGAAGUAAGCCGUUUGUGAUGUGGCUGAAAUGUCACGGAAUCAUUUGCUCCAACAGAUAUUUUACCCUUCAAUUGUUUGUGCAUUACAUUGUAGCAUGAAGUACCUGAGUGGGAGCUUGUUCUGACUUUCUUCCGAAAAGUACAAAAUAUGAAUGACAUGUGGUUUUCUAGUGGAAAGAAAAGAGGUUUGGAUUAAAUUUAUUGAUACAAAAAGCAAUAAUGUUUUGUUUACAUUAUGAAGAAUGUGGAAUUCUAGCAUAUUUUUUCAUAUCCUCAAAGAGAAUCACUUCAAAGUGAUUUGUUUUGUAAACAAAGCAAACAAAUCCAAAAUGAUUUUCUAUGAACGUUCAGGAUUUUACUUACAGAAUCAUAUUGAACUGCUAUUCUCUUUCAAUAGUUUUUCCGAUGAUUCUUUUUUGGAGUGAAUGCAAAAAACGAUCGCCUACAUGGCGAAGUAGUAUUGAAAACGAAAAAUGCUAAUACUGCUUUAUUUUUAGUAAAAGCCUCAGUUCUAGAGAAUACAAUACCAGCUUCAAUAUAGAAGUGUAUACUAAACCUUCUGUAAUACGUUAUUUUACAGCUUUUGAAAUCCGUGCCCAAAGAUCUGCUUAAUUGGAAACACAAAAUAGGAACAAUAUGUUUGAGGUACUUUUUCUGAGGAUUAUCAAAUUAUCUAGGUAAAUUAAAAGAUUACAAAAUGAGCGAAUUAAAUGACGACUAAGUACAUAACUUUUCAGUCAAAGUGAAUAUUUAUUUCGUGCAACACAUGUAUUCCUAAAAAGCAUGGAAAUUCAUUUUUUCCUUCUGUUUAUUUGAAAAGUUCAUAUUUAAAUAUACAUUUAAUACUUUAAUUUAAAUGAUUGAUCUCCUACAAAUAAAUUCGAUUGAUUACAGAACUUUUGAUCAAUUGUAACUGCUACAAAAACAAGCAGUGUAAUUUCAUUGACUUCCAUUAAAUCACAUCAAAAGGGCUGAAACAUUUUAGGAAGUGAAAGACAUGAACUCGUCAUCAACUUAAUGAUCACUUCCGUACUUUCCAGCCUUUGGGUUUCUAGGAUCAUUGCGAUACUCCGCAGCUACAUAGAGUUAAAAAAUUGUUCUAUUUCUAUUAAAAACGUACAAUCCAUCAUAGCAUCACGAAGCUUUACAGUACCAUAGAAUACGAUGGCUCCUGUCAAGACAUGUUAAUAAUAAUUCAAAUCGUUGAAAAAUAUACAUACCCCCUAGAAAAAAAGGAAGCAUAGGUUUUAAAAUAGGAGUAGAAUAUCUUUUAAGGCCAAAGAACGACAUUUCUCUGAUUCCGAUUUCUGUUUAAAUGGAGAUGGGAGUGGAGAGGUUAAGUUAAAGGCAAUCACUGGGAGUCUCAAUAUUAGGAUAUGUCAACGAUGUCGAUUUCUAGUGUAUUAUUUUUUUAAUUUUAUUUUCUUUUAAAAGAAUUCUAAAAUAAUAAAAAAAAUUACUCUUUUUUGGUAGUAGCUUCAGUCUGAUGGAACCAAAUUUUGAAGUGCUAGUUAAAUGGACAUGCUAAAUUAAAGUUCGAACUUACACAAUUACAUCCAUAACACAUAUUAGCGUUUGUUUUUAAAUUCGGGAUUAGACUGAUUGACUGAAGACAACCUUUCGCAGUUACAGUCGAGUCUCUUUUAACUACUUGAAAACAGUAAGAGAAUUUUUUCUUUUUUCAUCAUAUGACUUGUUGUUCGUUAGAUAGCAUGAAAAUACAAAACUCUUUGAGUCAAACUCGCGU
This 2076-nucleotide long non-coding RNA is filed under the name Schizosaccharomyces pombe (fission yeast). Lineage: Eukaryota; Fungi; Ascomycota; Schizosaccharomycetes; Schizosaccharomycetales; Schizosaccharomycetaceae. The record is from RNAcentral.